UUGUUUUGCUUUUCUUUCUCUUGUAUUUUGUUUUCAACUAUCUUUUCUUCCUCUAUUUCUUUUUUUUUUGCAAGGCUGCUUUUUCCAAAUGAGGAGGUUGUGAUUCUGAUCGGGAUCAAAUCCGGCUAAAACCUGGUACCAGUACCCCAUCAACGACUUGAAGUGUUAAGAAGAAGAGCCCAAUGUGGCGAGCAUACAAGCAGCAUAUUGAAAUAUGCCUCGCGUGUUUGAAUCACAACCUUCCUCAUGAUCAUUCUUAGGCACAUUGGCAUCUUUUAGCAACUCAUUCGGAUCCG
This 296-nucleotide long non-coding RNA is filed under the name Linum usitatissimum (flax). Its description in RNAcentral is "long non-coding RNA (LUSI_LNC004014)". Lineage: Eukaryota; Viridiplantae; Streptophyta; Magnoliopsida; Malpighiales; Linaceae. The record is from RNAcentral.